AAAAAUGUGUAUACUAUAAAGUUGGGACCGUGGAUGUAGUGACAUUUAUUCCUUACAGUAUAAAUUAGUGGAGAAGGAGCGAGUAGGCGGAGAAUCAAAUAUCGAUGGCGUCAAGAGGAAACGCUGUACAUCCGAGGUGGCAGGGGGAGGAGGAAGCGUGGAAUGGCACGUUCGACCUCCAAACCCUAAAAAUUCGAUUGUUUUCUUCGAUAUUACCAUACGUACCAUUGAUGCCGGUCGUAUCAAUGGCACGUUCGACCUCCAAAACAAUUUUUACAUGUAUUUUCAAAUUGGUCCUUAGAGUUUUGAAUUUUUAAAAUUAAAGACAUAUUUUUAGUGCUAUAAUCAAUUUAGUCCCUUUCGUGGUGUGUAUUAUAAGGUCAAGACUGGUCCAAAUAAUGUCGGAACGAUCUUUGAUCUAUAAUUGCGGAUUGAAAAAAUCGGUUCCGAUUCAGACCGGUCAAUAUGAUUUUAAAAUAUAUAAUAUAAUAUAUUAACAUUUACUAAUCUAAAUCAUUUAUUUAUUUAAUUUUCUUAACUAUUCAACAUUUAAAUAAUUUAUAAUUUAUAUAUUUAUAAUCAAUUUUGUUAAUAAUUUUUUUAAAAAAUAAUAAUUAUUCAAAUGAGUUAGAACUUAAUUAUAUAAUAAAUAAAAUAUCUGAAAUAUGUAAUAGUUUAAAUUUUGAUAUGUUUUAUUUCAAAAUUAUAUCGUUCUACUCCAUGCUAUUAAAAUUUAAUAAUAAAUUUAACAAAUUACAUCAAUAUUACAUUGUCAUAAUUUUUAAUAAUAUAAAAUUACAUCAGAAAAAAAUGAUAAUACAAAUAGAAAUUGAUAUCGUCACUUGUUCACAUGUUAUAUAUAAUUUUAAAAUAUAAUAAUAUAAUGUGAGAGAGAUAACUUAUAUAAAUCUAUAAUUUAUUAACAACUUUAAUUGAUUUAAACACAUACAUUUUUUCUUAUUAAAACUAUAAUUAUAUUUGAUAUAAUCGAAUUAUUUACUUAACGUAGUAACAUAAAAAAAUAAUUUGUAUCAGCACUAUUUGGUAGAUAGAUUAUUUCGAUAUCAUAAGUAUGAAUUUAUUCUUAAACUAUUUCAUAUAAAAAAGUUACAAAAAUAAAAAAUUUAUUUUACACUAUUUCAAAUAAUUAUGACCAAUAUUAUUAAUAAUGUCAAUUUAUAUAUAUAUUUUAUUUUAACAUAAAACUUUAACUUUUAUCAAUUAACAUAUGAUAAGUUACAUGUAUUAUAUUUUUUGAUUUUAUAUGUCGAUAUUAUGGAUUAUUUAUCUGUAACUUGUUUAUAAAACUCUUGAUUAAUUUUUUAAAAAUUAUUAAUAUAUAUAGUUUAAAUUUAUCCUGAUGUUAUAAUACUUAUGGAUAAAACUGUUUAAGAAUUUUACUAUCAUUGCAUGUACUGAGUAAUAUUAUUGACUAACUCAAUUAUAAAAGAAACCGAAAAAAAAAAUUGGAGAGAGUUAAUAGAAGAUAAAAAUAUAAAUAAUUGCAUUUAUUCAUCAAUAACCAUAGUUGAUACAUGUAUUUAUAUUUAUAUAUAUUUUAUAAUAAUCGUUAGUUAUAAUAAAUUAAUAAAAUACUAUAUUAAUUGAUUUAAAAUAUGAUAUUUACCGAACAAUAAAUAAAAUAUUUUAUAAAUAAUUUAAAUAUAUGAUAAUAUUAUUAUUACGAUUAUAUGAGAUUCAAUAUUUAAUUAUUUUAAUACUUAAUUCAAAAGCUAGUUAUUUAUCAAAAAAUUACUGAGUAAAAAAAUAGGACUAUGUUUGUAUAUUUAUUACAUAUGACAUUAGGUUGACUUUUGAUUUUGUUGGUUAUUCCGAAAAAAUGUGUAUACUAUAAAGUUGGGACCGUAGAUGUACUGACAUUUACUCCUUACAGUAUAAAUUAGUGGAGAAGGAGCGAGUAGGCGGAGAAUCAAAUACCGAUGGCGUCAGGAGGAAACGCCGUACCUCCGACGGUGGCAGGGGGAGGAGGAAGCGUGGAAUGGCACGUUCGACCUCCAAACCCUAAAAAUCCGAUUGUUUUCUUCGAUAUUACCAUAGGCACCAUUGAUGCCGGUCGUAUCAAGAUGGAGCUCUUCGCCGAUAUUGCUCCUAAAACCGCCGAAAAUUUCAGGUCCUGCAACUUUCUUCAUGCUACAAUUAUCGACAAUACUUCACUAUUUCGAUUUUCUUUUUUUUCGGUUUCUCUCCGGUUUAGUUUUGUUUUUAGUACGUGGAUAUGU
This 2240-nucleotide long non-coding RNA is filed under the name Carica papaya (papaya). RNAcentral's name for it is "long non-coding RNA (CPAP_LNC005050)". The record is from RNAcentral. Lineage: Eukaryota; Viridiplantae; Streptophyta; Magnoliopsida; Brassicales; Caricaceae.